Molecule: ribosomal RNA, 497 nt
Filed under: uncultured bacterium
Lineage: Bacteria
Description: partial 16S ribosomal RNA
Rfam family: Bacterial small subunit ribosomal RNA
Source: RNAcentral
GAUGAACGCUGGCGGCGUGCCUAAUACAUGCAAGUCGAGCGACAAGACGAGGAGCUUGCUCCCCUGACGUUAGCGGCGGACGGGUGAGUAACACGUGGAUAACCUACCUAUAAGUCUGGGAUAAUUUCGGGAAACCGGAGCCAAUACCGGCUCAUAUAUUGAACCGCAUGGUUCAAUAGUGAAUGACGGUUUUGCUGUCUCUUAUAGAUGGAUCCGCGCCGCAUUAGCUAGUUGGUAAGGUAACGGCUUACCAAGGCAACGAUGCGUAGCCGACCUGAGAGGGUGAUCGGCCACACUGGAACUGAGACACGGUCCAGACUCCUACGGGAGGCAGCAGUAGGGAAUCUUGCACAAUGGGCGAAAGCCUGACGGAGCAACGCCGCGUGGGUGAUGAAGGUCUUCGGGUCGUAAAGCUCUGUUGUUGGGAAAGAACAAAAGUGUAAGUAACUAUGCACGUCUUGACGGUACCUAAUCAGAAAGCCACGGCUAACUACGUG